Molecule: ribosomal RNA, 417 nt
Filed under: uncultured bacterium
Lineage: Bacteria
Description: bacterial SSU rRNA
Rfam family: Bacterial small subunit ribosomal RNA
Source: RNAcentral
UAUUGGUCAAUGGACGAGAGUCUGAACCAGCCAAGUAGCGUGAAGGAUGACUGCCCUUUGGGUUGUAAACUUCUUUUAUAUGGGAAUAAAGUGGUUCACGUGUGGAUUUUUGUAUGUACCAUAUUAAUAAGGAUCGGCUAACUUCGUGCAAGCAGCCGCGGUAAUACGGAGGAUCCGAGCGUUAUCCGGAUUUAUUGGGUUUAAAGGGAGCGUAGGUGGGCAGUUAAGUCAGUUGUGAAAGUUUGCGGCUCAACCGUAAAAUUGCAGUUGAUACUGGCUGUCUUGAGUACAGUAGAAGUGGGCGGAAUUCGUGGUGUAGCGGUGAAAUGCUUAGAUAUCACGGAGAACUCCGAUUGCGAAGGCAGCUCACUGGACUGCAACUGACACUGAUGCUCGAAAGUGUGGGUAUCAAACAGG